Molecule: ribosomal RNA, 274 nt
Filed under: uncultured bacterium
Lineage: Bacteria
Description: partial 16S ribosomal RNA
Rfam family: Bacterial small subunit ribosomal RNA
Source: RNAcentral
AUACAGAGGGUGCGAGCGUUAAUCGGAAUUACUGGGCGUAAAGCGCGCGUAGGCGGCUUGAUAAGUCGGAUGUGAGAUCCCCGGGCUUAACCUGGGAAUUGCAUUCGAUACUGUCAGGCUAGAGUGUGGUAGAGGGAAGUGGAAUUUCCGGUGUAGCGGUGAAAUGCGUAGAUAUCGGAAAGAACAUCAGUGGCGAAGGCGGCUUCCUGGAUCAACACUGACGCUGAGGUGCGAAAGCGUGGGGAGCAAACAGGAUUAGAAACCCCAGUAGUCC